Molecule: ribosomal RNA, 301 nt
Filed under: uncultured bacterium
Lineage: Bacteria
Description: partial 16S ribosomal RNA
Rfam family: Bacterial small subunit ribosomal RNA
Source: RNAcentral
CAGUAGCCACGGGAAAACGGAGGAUCCGAGCGUUAUCCGGAAUUAUUGGGUUUAAAGGGUGCGUAGGCGGAUAGAUAAGUCAGUGGUGAAAGACGGUGGCUCAACCAUCGCAGUGCCGUUGAUACUGUUUAUCUUGAAUAUGGAUGAGGUAGGCGGAAUGUGGCAAGUAGCGGUGAAAUGCAUAGAUAUGCCACAGAACACCGAUUGCGAAGGCAGCUUACCAAGGCAAAAUUGACGCUGAGGCACGAAAGCGUGGGGAUCGAACAGGAUUAGAUACCCCAGUAGUCCCUGUCUCUUAUAA